CCCUUAGAUGAUUUGGGCUGCACGCGCGUUACACUGAUGCAUUCAACGAGCUUAUAACCUUGGCCGAGAGGCCUGGGCAAUCUUGUUAACGUGCAUCGUGAUAGGGAUAGAUUAUUGAAAUUAUUAAUCUUGAACGAGGAAUUCCUAGUAAACGCAGAUCAUCAAUCUGCAUUGAUUACGUCCCUGCCCUUUGUACACACCGCCCGUCGCACCUACCGAUUGGAUGGUCCGGUGAAGCCUCGGGAUUGUGGUUCUUGCCGCUUUAUUGUGGCGUGACCGCGAGAACUUGUCUAAACCUUAUCAUCUAGAGGAAGGUGAAGUCGUAACA
RNAcentral lists this ribosomal RNA (328 nucleotides) under uncultured eukaryote. RNAcentral's name for it is "partial 18S ribosomal RNA". It matches the Rfam family "Eukaryotic small subunit ribosomal RNA", at positions 1470 to 1796 of the family's 1831-position model. The record is from RNAcentral.